CAUUUACAAAGAGUUCCCAGAGAUCCAGAAUUAGCUUUGAGAUGAUCAGCUUUGCCUUUGGGAGUGAGAUGAAGGCAGUAGCAACACUCCCGAAUCCCUACUUCGAGUAUUACUACCAAGGCCGGACUGGCCCACCGGGAUAUCGGGAAAUUUCCCGGUGGGCCGCGGCACCUAGGGCUGUUCUGACAGCCCUGUUCAUCCUAAGUAAUUU
Pelobates cultripes (western spadefoot toad) is the source of this 211-nucleotide non-coding RNA. The record is from the annotation of a GenBank genome assembly. Lineage: Eukaryota; Metazoa; Chordata; Amphibia; Anura; Pelobatidae.